AAACGAUGUCGACUUGGAGGUUGUGCCCUUGAGGCGUGGCUUCCGGGAGCUAACGCGUUAAGUCGACCGCCUGGGGAGUACGGCCGCAAGGUUAAAACUCAAAUGAAUUGACGGGGGCCCGCACAAGCGGUGGAGCAUGUGGUUUAAUUCGAUGCAACGCGAAGAACCUUACCUGGUCUUGACAUCCACGGAAGUUUUCCAGAGAUGAGAAUGUGCCUUCGGGAACCGUGAGACAGGUGCUGCAUGGCUGUCGUCAGCUCGUGUUGUGAAAUGUUGGGUUAAGUCCCGCAACGAGCGCAACCCUUAUCCUUUGUUGCCAGCGGUCCGGCCGGGAACUCAAAGGAGACUGCCAGUGAUAAACUGGAGGAAGGUGGGGAUGACGUCAAGUCAUCAUGGCCCUUACGACCAGGGCUACACACGUGCUACAAUGGCGCAUACAAAGAGAAGCGACCUCGCGAGAGCAAGCGGACCUCAUAAAGUGCGUCGUAGUCCGGAUUGGAGUCUGCAACUCGACUCCAUGAAGUCGGAAUCGCUAGUAAUCGUGGAUCAGAAUGCCACGGUGAAUACGUCCCGGCCUUUCAC
Molecule: ribosomal RNA, 582 nt
Filed under: uncultured bacterium
Lineage: Bacteria
Description: bacterial SSU rRNA
Rfam family: Bacterial small subunit ribosomal RNA
Source: RNAcentral